Molecule: transfer RNA, 87 nt
Filed under: bacterium
Lineage: Bacteria
Description: tRNA-Leu
Rfam family: tRNA
About the family: Transfer RNA (tRNA) molecules are approximately 80 nucleotides in length. Their secondary structure includes four short double-helical elements and three loops (D, anti-codon, and T loops). Further hydrogen bonds mediate the characteristic L-shaped molecular structure. tRNAs have two regions of fundamental functional importance: the anti-codon, which is responsible for specific mRNA codon recognition, and the 3' end, to which the tRNAs corresponding amino acid is attached (by aminoacyl-tRNA synthetases). tRNAs cope with the degeneracy of the genetic code in two manners: having more than one tRNA (with a specific anti-codon) for a particular amino acid; and 'wobble' base-pairing, i.e. permitting non-standard base-pairing at the 3rd anti-codon position.
Source: RNAcentral
GCCGGGGUGGUGGAAUUGGUAGACACACUAGCUUGAGGGGCUAGCGGACGCAAGUCUGUGCGAGUUCAAAUCUCGCCUCCGGCACCA